UUAUCGUGGUCAUUACAAAUAUUAUAGAU
Molecule: small RNA, 29 nt
Filed under: Bombyx mori (domestic silkworm)
Lineage: Eukaryota; Metazoa; Arthropoda; Insecta; Lepidoptera; Bombycidae
Description: ovarian small RNA-36837
Source: RNAcentral